CCUACGGGCGGCAGCAGUGAGGAAUAUUGGGCAAUGGGCGCAAGCCUGACCCAGCAACGCCGCGUGAAGGAAGACGGCUUUAGGGUUGUAAACUUCUUUUGUCAGGGAAGAGUAGAAGACGGUACCUGACGAAUAAGCCACGGCUAGCCACGUGCCAUCAGCCGCGGUCAUACGGAGGUGGCACGCGAUGUCCGGAUUUACUGGGUGUAAAGGGCGUGUAGCCGGGUUGACAAGUCAGAUGUGAAAUCCUGCGGCGUAACCGCAGAACUGCAGUUGAAACUGUUGAUCUUGAGUACUGGAGAGGCAGACGGAAUUCCUAGUGUAGCGGUGAAAUGCGUAGAUAUUAGGAGGAACACCAGUGGCGAAGGCGGUCUGCUGGACAGCAACUGACGGUGAGGCGCGAAAGCGUGGGGAGCAAACAGGAUUAGAUACCCCGGUAGUC
This 442-nucleotide ribosomal RNA is filed under the name uncultured bacterium. RNAcentral's name for it is "partial 16S ribosomal RNA". It matches the Rfam family "Bacterial small subunit ribosomal RNA", at positions 338 to 795 of the family's 1533-position model. The record is from RNAcentral.